CGAGCGGCAUGGCGCCGGCCUCCCUCACCCCCCCACCUCCGGCCCCGAGCAUCCCCCGAGGGAACGCCGGGAGCCCCGCAGGGCCGCCCCGGGAGCAGGAGGAGGGCGGCCGGGCCGGGGCCGCCGCGAGGGGCAGCGCGGCGCCGCCUGAGGAGAGCCCGGCGGCGGAUGGCGGAGGCGCCGCGGGGAAGGGGCGCCGCCCGGCCCUGCACGGCCCCUCCGGCGGAGCGGGAGCCCGAGCUCGGGGCGGGGGGAGGAGGACGGCCCCGGCGCCGCUUUACCUGAAGACGCAGUCGUCUCUCGCGUCCCUGGCCGGGGAGGCCUGCUCGGGGCGGGGGGGACCCCAGCACAUCCCAGCACAGACAGAAAUAGCACUCCAAGCUGGGAGGAAGGAAGGCAGCCACGUGUGCUGUGUGCAGGGGAAGCCAUCGUACCCAUAAAACAUCCAUCUGCCAAACGCAUUUAGGACACAGCAACCCACACGUGAGUCCAGACCAAACACGAGCCAAAGGGACUGAGCAUUUUUUGCAAAAGUAUUUAUUAGGAUGGGUUUAAACCAAUGGUUACAGUUAACAGCCUCCUCCAACGUCUCACUGUGAAGACAGAAGAGUAGCAGAAAGUGAAAAUAAUUAAGAACUGAUUAAGUAGAAGUGACUCAUCUGCUUUCCCUGGAAAACGGAAUUAAACUAAGCUGGCAUGUGAUGUGACGUUACAUUAGAAAUACUUUUAAACAAGGAUCACUUCGUGUGUAAGAUACACAGCUGCCUGCAGGAUCUCUGGUUUUCAUCCGCUAGAAGUUGACGCUCAGAUAGAAAGCAGGAACUGAUGUUCAGAUGCAUCUUUCCCCCUUGUUCUGGAUGGAGGACACACCUGCGUGCUGCAGGCUCACAGAUGAGAGAUCUCUAUACCCCUUCACUAUGUGAAAGCCUUCAAACUGGGCACAUAAAUACAGUUUCAAAUAAGAUCUUCAAGUACAGAAUACAACAAAACAAUAGAAUUUGCCCAGGAAAUACAGCUGAGCUUUCAACAGUUUCACAAUUAACAGCACUGAAGACUGAGCCAAUGUCAAGUGAAUUCAAAUCCAAGUUGCCAGAGCCCCUUUAGAAGUGAGUCUAUUCCAAAGCUUCAAAGUUAACAGCAGGGGAGCCUGGCAAGCUUUGUUAACACACCUUAAUCAAGAGAGCAGAGGGGAGGAUGGAUAGGAAGAGAAAAAGAACAAAAUACGUUUCAUCAUCCAUUUUCCUGAAAAGCACAGGCAAAUCCUCACACCUGCACGCAAUACAUGAAUUUCAACUUCUCUGCCCAUUCAGGAUGCAUUGCCUCGGACUCCAAACCUGUCCCUUCUGUGUUCAGAGAUUACGAUUUACAGGACUAGCAAACAGAACCAUUUGCAUACGAAGGCUUCACACUCCAGCAGCUGGAACAGGUACCAGCACUCCAGUGAAAGAAAAAAACAUCUUCCAUCAUCUCCGAGCACUUUCAGUCUCCUAGAACCACCAUUCAUUUCAAAAAUAACUGCAAACUAUCAAUGAAAACCCUCUUACAUUUGUCCCUGUAAGGCUUUACUAAACAUGCAUCUACAGAGCACGCUUCACAGAUAGAAAGUUCUUGUGCAGUCUGACUCACUGUCAUUCCUUUCAAGCCAUUGGGACUUCGCCACAUCUAGGCUUGUGACAAAGCAGCCCCAUUGAUACUGCGAGGACUUCCCUCCUCAAUCAGUGCACAAAUAAGCUCUUCUGUACUAUCCCAUCAACUGCCUGUGACCUAUAACCUUUAUCCACUAACAUGGAAGGACCAGUUUCCACUUCGAGAGAAAUUUUAUAUAGCCAUUCUUCAGUUUGAAACCAAAGCAUGGGAAAGUGCCUACCCUUUCAGAAAAGCAGAACAAGAGUGGAUAUUGUUCUGGCCUCAAAACGAGUAGCAUUUCCUUUCCUGGGGCAGAGAGCUAGCCUGGUAAUUAAUUACACUUUCUCUCAUCUCAAAAGAUGAAAAUAAGAAGCAGCACUUUUGUAACUGAGGGGAAGGACAAGAGAGAUUGUGGUUUGUGAUACUUCUGUCCUCCUGUACAGCCUCAUCACACUGAGAGAAAGAAAAGUACAACACUGCAGUUUUCAGGCUGCUCCAGCCAACCCCACAGUUGCAGGCAAUACCUUAUAAACCUUAUAAGGUAUUGCCUUAUAAACAAUAAUAUAAAACAAAAUUAUAAGGUAUACCCUUAUAAACAACAUCUUUUUACUCUGGUUCAAGUUGAGAAUGAUCAACGAUCAUAAUCCUAACUUAUUGCAUACCUCAGUUUUGCUUAAAGCUACAUCGAGGUGCUAACCCUUUUCUCCUAGGGGCUCCAGAUUCUUGCACACUUCAUUACCAGCAGCUUUUUAUUUGUAAGAACAAGGAUCCCGGUAAUUAGAAGCAUUCCUGGAAGCACUCCAACAAGACACUAGGAGAAUACUAUCUACUAAUGCUUAAAGGAAAAAUAAUUUAAUGCCAUGAUUGUUAACCUUGAGCCAUAUGAUAUGCUUAGACAACAUUUGUUUAGAAACUAAAUCCAAGUGCGUCUAUCUGCACUUCCUUCUAACCCAGAGCAAUGGGAAAAGGCCCAGGGUCUGAACUUCCACAGGUCUGCU
This 2624-nucleotide long non-coding RNA is filed under the name Gallus gallus (chicken). The record is from RNAcentral. Lineage: Eukaryota; Metazoa; Chordata; Aves; Galliformes; Phasianidae.